Molecule: transfer RNA, 74 nt
Filed under: Aureococcus anophagefferens
Lineage: Eukaryota; Pelagophyceae; Pelagomonadales; Pelagomonadaceae
Rfam family: tRNA
About the family: Transfer RNA (tRNA) molecules are approximately 80 nucleotides in length. Their secondary structure includes four short double-helical elements and three loops (D, anti-codon, and T loops). Further hydrogen bonds mediate the characteristic L-shaped molecular structure. tRNAs have two regions of fundamental functional importance: the anti-codon, which is responsible for specific mRNA codon recognition, and the 3' end, to which the tRNAs corresponding amino acid is attached (by aminoacyl-tRNA synthetases). tRNAs cope with the degeneracy of the genetic code in two manners: having more than one tRNA (with a specific anti-codon) for a particular amino acid; and 'wobble' base-pairing, i.e. permitting non-standard base-pairing at the 3rd anti-codon position.
Source: Rfam by way of RNAcentral
GCCCGGGUAGCUCAGUUGGUUAGAGCGCUGGACUUUUAAUCCAGUGGCCGCGGGUUCAAGUCCCGCCUCGGGUG